RNAcentral lists this ribosomal RNA (467 nucleotides) under uncultured bacterium. RNAcentral's name for it is "partial 16S ribosomal RNA". It matches the Rfam family "Bacterial small subunit ribosomal RNA", at positions 28 to 507 of the family's 1533-position model. The record is from RNAcentral.
GACGAACGCUGGCGGCGUGCUUAACACAUGCAAGUCGAACGAUGAUCCGGAGCUUGCUCCUGUGCUUAGUGGCGAACGGGUGAGUAACACGUGAGUAACCUGCCCCCGACCCUGGGAUAAGCGUUGGAAACGACGGCUAAUACUGGACAUGAUCAGUGGCGGCAUGGGCUGGUGGUGGAAAGAUUUUUUGGGUGGGGAUGGACUCGCGGCCUAUCAGCUUGUUGGUGCGGUAAUGGCGAACCAAGGCGACGACGGGUAGCAGGCCUGAGAGGGUGACCAGCGACUCUGGGUGUGGGUAUCGCCCCGGACUCCUACGGGAGGCAGCAGUGGGGAAUGUUGCAUUAUCGGCGCGAGGCUGGUGCGGCAUCGCCGCGAGGGGGAUGACCGCCUUCCGGUUGUAUACCUCUUUUCGUAGGGCAGACGCGAUAGUGACGGUACCUGCAGAAACAGCACCGGCUAACUCCGUG